Molecule: unclassified non-coding RNA, 537 nt
Filed under: Hevea brasiliensis (rubber tree)
Lineage: Eukaryota; Viridiplantae; Streptophyta; Magnoliopsida; Malpighiales; Euphorbiaceae
Source: RNAcentral
AUCCCGAUGCUUGGGAGUAAGGCCAGCCCGCACAACAUUGUCUGAUGUUGCCAUGCAUUCAAUGCAGUCACCAUAUAGAUAUGCAUGGGGCUCAUUUGCCCCAAGAUACAGUGCUUCACCAGGAUUAAGCUUCACAUAAUUGAAAAAGAAGGCUGAUAUAACACCAAUAUCGGCUGGAUAUUGCUUUUCUAACUGCAAGCCCAGCCGUUCCUUGUCUGUCAACUUCCUCACCUGGCUUUCUAGGUGCAAUCGAGUUUUCAAUUUUGAUAUUACUUUAGUUGUCAUCUCUUUGCUAGCUGACAUAAGCUGGGUAAAAAUUGAUCUGAGAACUGUUUUUACUUUCUCUUCGCCAUCCUGCUCAUUCAUAUGCAAUACUUGGUUUGCAUCUGUACUGCCAACCAGUUCUACAAUUUCAGGAAUAUUAUGAAGUACAACUUUAAGCUCCUUAAGACAGAUAAAACCACAAAGGACCUCAAACUCAGUUAUGGCCAAAGCCAUCUCAGGCUUGUGGUUAUCAUCCUUGUAAACAUCUGGCUG